GGGGGAAUUCCCGAGCGGCCAAAGGGGUCAGACUGUAAAUCUGAUGGCUAUGCCUUCGCAGGUUCGAAUCCUGCUUCCCCCAC
RNAcentral lists this transfer RNA (83 nucleotides) under Gimesia alba. RNAcentral's name for it is "Planctomycetes bacterium Pan241w tRNA-Tyr". It matches the Rfam family "tRNA". Rfam says of the family: Transfer RNA (tRNA) molecules are approximately 80 nucleotides in length. Their secondary structure includes four short double-helical elements and three loops (D, anti-codon, and T loops). Lineage: Bacteria; Pseudomonadati; Planctomycetota; Planctomycetia; Planctomycetales; Planctomycetaceae. RNAcentral also lists the same sequence under 1 other name. The record is from RNAcentral.